RNAcentral lists this transfer RNA (64 nucleotides) under Prymnesium polylepis. It matches the Rfam family "tRNA", at positions 5 to 66 of the family's 71-position model. Rfam says of the family: Transfer RNA (tRNA) molecules are approximately 80 nucleotides in length. Lineage: Eukaryota; Haptophyta; Prymnesiales; Prymnesiaceae. The record is from RNAcentral.
UUUAUAGUUUAAUGGAUAAAACACUAAUUUACGAAGUUAGGGCUAAUGGUUCAAAUCCAUUUAA